Molecule: transfer RNA, 606 nt
Filed under: uncultured Prochlorococcus sp.
Lineage: Bacteria; Bacillati; Cyanobacteriota; Cyanophyceae; Synechococcales; Prochlorococcaceae
Description: partial contains 16S ribosomal RNA, 16S-23S ribosomal RNA intergenic spacer, and 23S ribosomal RNA
Rfam family: tRNA (bases 221-293)
Source: RNAcentral
UGGAUCACCUCCUAACAGGGAGAUAACAAAAUGUUUUGAUAUAAAUUUUGUCACCUUAGGUCGAUCGGUAUCUCAGAUUUUCAUAUUUGAAAAUUUCAGUUUCUAAGUUUUUUCUAGGUCACCCAUUUUUUCCUGGGCCAUUAGCUCAGGUGGUUAGAGCGCACCCCUGAUAAGGGUGAGGUCCCUGGUUCAAGUCCAGGAUGGCCCAUAUCUCUAUAUUGGGGGUAUAGCUCAGUUGGUAGAGCGCCUGCUUUGCAAGCAGGAUGUCAGCGGUUCGAGUCCGCUUACCUCCACUGAAUACCACCUUUCCAAAGAGAAGGAAUAUUUGGGAUCGAUUUUAAUCUGAACGAAUCUAGCUUCCUAUUUUUUAAAUUAAUUAAUAAGAUGCUGGACUCAAUGAAUUUUUAAAUUCUUUGUUUUCAGAGAACCUUGACAACUGCAUAGAUUUUUUUUCAAGACAAUAAGCAUCUUUUAAGAUGCAGAUUUAUUAUUGGUGCUUAUGCAUUAAUAACAAUUCUAUUGAGCUGAUGCUUCAAUUUUUUGAAGUUAUUGGUCAAGCUACAAAGGGCUCACGGAGGAUACCUAGGCACACAGAGGCGAUGAAGG